Odocoileus virginianus texanus is the source of this 849-nucleotide non-coding RNA. Lineage: Eukaryota; Metazoa; Chordata; Mammalia; Artiodactyla; Cervidae. The record is from RefSeq and is a predicted model, not a curated record.
CAGCAGCCAAGGAUUGUUAUGUCAUUUUGGUCUCAGAUACCUUAGUCUUGAGUUGUGUCCUGCGAUGGGAAAAUGGUAAUUGAGACAGAUUUACACCGAGAGAACACCUCUGUCUCCUCUCUACUCAUCCCUACUCUUUGAAAUAGACACUCUGACACGGUAGAAGGAGAUGGCAACCCCUUCCCGAGCCCAGGCGUGCUGUCGUGGUUAGAACGCUUUAAAAUUGCUGAGAGUUCUUGGCAUUGGAAAUCCUUAAGUAACAUUUUGUUACCAAACAUGGAAAACUAAAGAGUUUUGGAUACCAAAUCCAGGAAAAAUAAGGGCGUUAGGAAAAGUCCAGGGAAAGCGGACUCAAUGAACAAACUGUUAAGAGUCCUCUCUUACCAUGUCUGGCUGGCGGCGACCCAGAUGCCAUGUGAUGGCCAUUUGAAGACAGGCUUGUCGGACAUCAGGCUGGUCUCUUCCCGUUUCCAUGAUCACAGCAUCUCAUGAUCUUGUCACCUCUGUGAGUCGUCAUUCUCUCCAGCCACAGUGACCUGGGUUUCACUUCAACAGUCACUUUAUAUUUAUCCAAGGUACAGGACCCUCUAAAUGUUGACCUUUCUCAUCUCCUAUCCUCAUGUGACAACAGCAGGUGAUUAUAGGGUCUUUUGUCUUUUGUCUCAGGAGGCUGCAGUGAUGCUUACAUGAGUGAUGCCCUUGAGUAGCAGCUGUUAUUUAUCUUGAUGAUUUCUACCUGGAGUGUAGGUGGCCUUUGAGAAUCAGCACCUUUUGGUUUGCUUUUACUUUUUUUCUUCCCCCCUUUGGCUGUGGGGCAUGUGGAAUCUUAGUUCCCUGACCAGAGAUCAA